Molecule: ribosomal RNA, 263 nt
Filed under: Escherichia coli
Lineage: Bacteria; Pseudomonadati; Pseudomonadota; Gammaproteobacteria; Enterobacterales; Enterobacteriaceae
Description: partial 16S ribosomal RNA
Rfam family: Bacterial small subunit ribosomal RNA
Source: RNAcentral
AAAUUGAAGAGUUUGAUCAUGGCUCAGAUUGAACGCUGGCGGCAGGCCUAACACAUGCAAGUCGAACGGUAACAGAAAGCAGCUUGCUGCUUUGCUGACGAGUGGCGGACGGGUGAGUAAUGUCUGGGAAACUGCCUGAUGGAGGGGGAUAACUACUGGAAACGGUAGCUAAUACCGCAUAAUGUCGCAAGACCAAAGAGGGGGACCUUCGGGCCUCUUGCCAUCGGAUGUGCCCAGAUGGGAUUAGCUAGUAGGUGGGGUAA